RNAcentral lists this ribosomal RNA (253 nucleotides) under uncultured bacterium. RNAcentral's name for it is "partial 16S ribosomal RNA". It matches the Rfam family "Bacterial small subunit ribosomal RNA", at positions 524 to 776 of the family's 1533-position model. The record is from RNAcentral.
UACGAAGGGGGCUAGCGUUGUUCGGAAUUACUGGGCGUAAAGGGCGCGUAGGCGGUGUGUCAAGUCAGGCGUGAAAGCCCCGGGCUCAACCUGGGAACCGCGCUUGAGACUGGCACGCUAGAGUUCGGGAGAGGAUGGUGGAAUUCCCAGUGUAGAGGUGAAAUUCGUAGAUAUUGGGAAGAACACCGAUGGCGAAGGCAGCCAUCUGGACCGACACUGACGCUAAGGCGCGAAAGCGUGGGGAGCAAACAGG